Molecule: ribosomal RNA, 498 nt
Filed under: uncultured bacterium
Lineage: Bacteria
Description: bacterial SSU rRNA
Rfam family: Bacterial small subunit ribosomal RNA
Source: RNAcentral
GACGAACGCUGGCGGCGUGGAUUAGGCAUGCAAGUCGAACGGUAUCAUCCUUUCGGGGGUGAGAGAGUGGCGAACUGGUGAGUAACACGUAGGUUAUCUACCCUCAAGACGGGGACAACCCAGGGAAACUUGGGCUAAUACCGGAUGUGAGCAACUUUUAGUUGUUUGAAAGGUGGCGUAAGCUGUCGCUUUGGGAUGGGCCCGCGUCCCAUUAGCUAGUUGGUGAGGUAACGGCUCACCAAGGCGACGAUGGGUAGCCGGCCUGAGAGGGUGGACGGCCACACUGGGACUGAGACACGGCCCAGACUCCUACGGGAGGCAGCAGUAGGGAAUAUUGCGCAAUGGACGGAAGUCUGACGCAGCGACGCCGCGUGAGCGAUGAAGGUCUUCGGAUCGUAAAGCUCUGUCCUUGGGGAAGAAGGCGAAAGCUUGACGGUACCCAAGAAAGAAAGCCCCGGCUAACUAACGUGCCAGCAGCCGCGGUAAAAUCAACGUGUA